AGUAAUAGUUAUUUUCUUUAAACUCAAAGAAUUUGGCGGUGCUUUAGUCUAUUUAGAGGAAUUUGUCCCGUAAUCGAUAGUCCUCGUUAUAUCUUUCUUGGUUUCGUUUAAUCAGUAUGUAUAUCGCCGUUAUAAGUUUAUUUUUUUAGAAUUAAAAAUUUACUUUAAAAUUUAUUUAUUUAUAUUUCAGGUCAAGGUGCAGCUUAUAACUAAGUGGAGAUGAAUUACAAUAUUAUCUUAAUAUAUGGAUUAUAUUUUUAAAAUUUAUAUGAAGGUGGAUUUAAUGGUAAUUUUAAUAAUAAUAGUAUUUUGAUUAUAGCUCUAAGGCGAGU
Molecule: ribosomal RNA, 332 nt
Filed under: Agathemera crassa
Lineage: Eukaryota; Metazoa; Arthropoda; Insecta; Phasmatodea; Agathemeridae
Description: partial 12S ribosomal RNA
Source: RNAcentral